RNAcentral lists this transfer RNA (64 nucleotides) under Phyllocrania paradoxa. Its description in RNAcentral is "tRNA-Leu". The record is from RNAcentral. Lineage: Eukaryota; Metazoa; Arthropoda; Insecta; Mantodea; Hymenopodidae.
UCUAAUAUGGCAGAACAGUGCAGUGGAUUUAAGCCCCACAAAUAAAGUUUUACUUUUUUUAGAA